AAGAGCCAGCAGUGGGAAGAGCUCUUCUAUGCCCCAGUAGGGCUUUAUCAGGGAAACCAUGUGGCCAUCCGUUACGUUGGUGACCAAGCAGAAGCCUGGGUUAGGAAGCCGAUUGUGCUACAGGAAAUACAGCUGGGCAUGCUGUUCCUCCACAGGAGCCCCCUGGGCUCCCACGGCAACCUGAAACCUUCCAACUGCCUGAUGGAUGGUCGGCUGCAGGUGAAGCUGUCGUGAUUCGGACUGUGGGAACUCAAGCAUGGCUAAAAAUACAGAACAUAUGAUGAGACAGUGACCAACCACUCAGAGCUCUACUGGACUGCCCCAGAGCUGCUGCGGUUCCCGGAGAUGCCCUGGUCGGGUACCCCGCAAGGAGAUGUUUACAGCUUCGCCAUUCUGAUGAGGGAGCUGAUCUACCAUUGGGACCACGAGCCCUUUGAUGACCUCCACGAGGCACUGGAUGAAAUCAUCAACCGAAUCAAAGACCCUGCAGCAGCAGUCCCACUGCAACCUUCCCUGCCCGAGGAGAAGGGCAAUGAAAAGAUCGUGGCCAUGGUGAGGGUGUGUUGGGAUGAAUCUCUGGAGAAAAGACCCAGUUUCUCUUCCAUCAAGAAAACUUUACGAGAGGCCAGUCCCAGAGGCCAUGUGAGCAUACUGGCCAGUGUGAUGAGCAAGCUGGAAGUGUAUGCCAAUUACCUGGAGGAAGUGGUGCAAGAGAGGACCAGCCAGCUGACUGCAGAGAAGAGGAAGGUGGAGAAGCUUCUGUCCACCAAAGUGCCCAGCUUCACUGGAGAACAACUCCUAGCCGGAAGGUCCGUGGAACCAGAACAUUUCGAAUCUGUGACAGUCUUUUUAUCUGAUAUUGUUGGAUUCACAAAGCUGUGUUCUCUCAGCUCCCCUUUGCAAGUCGUCAAGCUCCUCCAUGACGUGUACAGUUUAUUCGAUCACAUCAUCACAACUUAUGAUGUUUAUAAGAUUGAGACCAUUGGAGACGCAUACAUGGUGGCUAGUGGACUCCCUACCGCAAUGGAAGCCAGCAUGUGGCUGAGAUUGCCACCAUGUCCCUGCACUUCCUCAGUGCCACCAUCUGCUUCCAAAUUGGGCACAUGCCGCAGGAGAAGCUCCAGCUUCGGAUUGGCCUCUACACAGGUCCUGUGGUGGCUGGUGUGCUGGGGAUUACCAUGUCCAGAUACUGUCUAUUUGGAGACACUGUCAACAUGGCAUCCAGAAUGGAGAGCAGCAGUUCACCUCUCCGGAUUCAUGUCUCUCAGAGCACUGCAAGCACCCUGGUGGCAUUGGGAGGGUACGAUUUGCUAAAGAGAGGCACCAUUCCAGUCAAGGGCAAAGGAGAGCAAACAACUUUCUGGUUGAAAGAUAAAGAAGGCUUCACUCUUCCACUCCCG
RNAcentral lists this small RNA (1400 nucleotides) under Pan troglodytes (chimpanzee). Its description in RNAcentral is "processed transcript". Lineage: Eukaryota; Metazoa; Chordata; Mammalia; Primates; Hominidae. The record is from RNAcentral.